GAGAGUCUGAGCUGUGUGCGCGUUCCAGUUCAGCGAGCAUGUCGUACGCGCAGGAACCCUCUGAAGUGCAGAGAGUAGGAAGGUACUGGACACCUCCACCACCCUUCUCCCCAGCCUCGGGGUUGCUCCCUCCCUCUGGCCCAGCCGUCACCCAACGGACCAAGGGUGCCUGUCUGACUGUGCCCUGCCUGGGGCACGGGCAUCACCUCUGAGCUGAUGUUGGGUGAAGGAAUGAAUGAUGGGGUGGUGACAGCACACAGGAGCUGACCGCCCCCAUCAGAGCAGCAGCCUCCCACUCCCAUUUCUUGAGAAGCCCUGCACACCCAGCGGCCUCUGGGGGAUGCCAGAGGGUGGGGGAAAGUCAACUGGUCACAAGAACAGCCCCGGAGGGACACGACGGAGGGACACGACGGUGGCAGGGGCCUGACUUCACCAAGAACCCUCCCC
Balaenoptera acutorostrata (minke whale) is the source of this 447-nucleotide long non-coding RNA. RefSeq lists it as uncharacterized. The transcript has 3 exons. Lineage: Eukaryota; Metazoa; Chordata; Mammalia; Artiodactyla; Balaenopteridae. The record is from RefSeq and is a predicted model, not a curated record.